This 1936-nucleotide ribosomal RNA is filed under the name Streptomyces netropsis. RNAcentral's name for it is "Bacterial large subunit ribosomal RNA". It matches the Rfam family "Bacterial large subunit ribosomal RNA", at positions 1 to 1763 of the family's 2925-position model. Lineage: Bacteria; Bacillati; Actinomycetota; Actinomycetes; Kitasatosporales; Streptomycetaceae. The record is from Rfam by way of RNAcentral.
GGCCAAGUUUUUAAGGGCGCACGGUGGAUGCCUUGGCACCAGGAACCGAUGAAGGACGUGGGAGGCCACGAUAGGCCCCGGGGAGCUGUCAACCGAGCUUUGAUCCGGGGGUGUCCGAAUGGGGAAACCCGGCAGUCGUCAUGGGCUGUCACCCGCUGCUGAACACAUAGGCAGUGUGGAGGGAACGCGGGGAAGUGAAACAUCUCAGUACCCGCAGGAAGAGAAAACAACCGUGAUUCCGGGAGUAGUGGCGAGCGAAACCGGAUGAGGCCAAACCGUAUGCGUGUGAUACCCGGCAGGGGUUGCGCGUACGGGGUUGUGGGAGUUCUCUUGAUCAGUCUGCCGGCUGGUCGGCGAGUCAGAAACCGUACAGGUAGGCGAAGGACAUGCGAAAGGUCCGGCGUAGAGGGUAAGACCCCCGUAGCUGAAAUCUGUACGGCUCGCUUGAGAACCACCCAAGUAGCACGGGGCCCGAGAAAUCCCGUGUGAAUCUGGCGGGACCACCCGUUAAGCCUAAAUAUUCCCUGGUGACCGAUAGCGGAUAGUACCGUGAGGGAAUGGUGAAAAGUACCGCGGGAGCGGAGUGAAAUAGUACCUGAAACCGUGUGCCUACAAGCCGUGGGAGCGUCGCGCAUCAAGCUUGCUUGGUGCGUCGUGACUGCGUGCCUUUUGAAGAAUGAGCCUGCGAGUUUGCGGUGUGUUGCGAGGUUAACCCGUGUGGGGAAGCCGUAGCGAAAGCGAGUCCGAAUAGGGCGAUUGAGUAGCGCGCCCAAGACCCGAAGCGGAGUGAUCUAGCCAUGGGCAGGUUGAAGCGGAGGUAAGACUUCGUGGAGGACCGAACCCACCAGGGUUGAAAACCUGGGGGAUGACCUGUGGUUAGGGGUGAAAGGCCAAUCAAACUCCGUGAUAGCUGGUUCUCCCCGAAAUGCAUUUAGGUGCAGCGUCGUGUGUUUCUUGCCGGAGGUAGAGCACUGGAUAGGCGAUGGGCCCUACCGGGUUACUGACCUUAGCCAAACUCCGAAUGCCGGUAAGUGAGAGCGCGGCAGUGAGACUGUGGGGGAUAAGCUCCAUGGUCGAGAGGGAAACAGCCCAGAGCAUCGACUAAGGCCCCUAAGCGUACGCUAAGUGGGAAAGGAUGUGGAGUCGCAGAGACAACCAGGAGGUUGGCUUAGAAGCAGCCACCCUUGAAAGAGUGCGUAAUAGCUCACUGGUCAAGUGAUUCCGCGCCGACAAUGUAGCGGGGCUCAAGCGUACCGCCGAAGUCGUGUCAUUCACACAAUAGGUCCAACGACCGUGUGGAUGGGUAGGGGAGCGUCGUGUGCCGGGUGAAGCAGCCGCGGAAGCGAGUUGUGGACGGUUCACGAGUGAGAAUGCAGGCAUGAGUAGCGAUACACACGUGGGAAACGUGUGCGCCGAUUGACUAAGGGUUCCUGGGUCAAGCUGAUCUGCCCAGGGUAAGUCGGGACCUAAGGCGAGGCCGACAGGCGUAGUCGAUGGACAACCGGUUGAUAUUCCGGUACCCGCUUUGAAACGCCCAAUAUCGAAUCAGACGAUGCUAAGCCCGUGAAGCCGUUCCGGACCCUUCGGGGAAAGGAAAGUGGUGGAGCCGGUGACCCGGAUCUGUAGUAGGUAAGCGAUGGGGUGACGCAGGAAGGUAGUCCAGCCCGGGCGGUGGUAGUCCCGGGGUAAGGGUGUAGGCCGUGUGGUAGGCAAAUCCGUCACACAUUAAGGCUGAGACCUGAUGCCGAGCCGAUUGUGGUGAAGUGGAUGAUCCUAUGCUGUCGAGAAAAGCCUCUAGCGAGUUUCAUGGCGGCCCGUACCCUAAACCGACUCAGGUGGUCAGGUAGAGAAUACCGAGGCGUUCGGGUGAACUAUGGUUAAGGAACUCGGCAAAAUGCCCCCGUAACUUCGGGAGAAGGGGGGCCAUGUCUGGUGA